UACGGAGGAUGCAAGCGUUAUCCGGAUUUAUUGGGUUUAAAGGGUGCGUAGGCGGGAUAAUAAGUCAGUGGUGAAAGCCUGCAGCUUAACUGCAGAACUGCCAUUGAUACUGUUAUUCUUGAGUACAUUUGAUGUGGGCGGAAUGUGUAAUGUAGCGGUGAAAUGCUUAGAUAUUACACAGAACACCGAUUGCGUAGGCAGCUCACAAAACUGUUACUGACGCUGAGGCACGAAAGCGUGGGGAGCAAACAGG
This 253-nucleotide ribosomal RNA is filed under the name uncultured bacterium. RNAcentral's name for it is "partial 16S ribosomal RNA". It matches the Rfam family "Bacterial small subunit ribosomal RNA", at positions 524 to 776 of the family's 1533-position model. The record is from RNAcentral.